AAUGAACGUUGGCGGCGUGGAUUAGGCAUGCAAGUCGAGCGAGAACCGUAGCAAUACGGGGACAGCGGCGAAAGGGACAGUAAUGUGUAGGUACCUACCCCCGGGUGCGGGAUAGCUGCGGGAAACUGCAGGUAAUACAGAAUAAUGUCUUCGGACCAAAGGUGUGAUUCCACCUGGGGAGGGGCCUGCAUCCUAUUAGCUUGUUGGUGGGGUAACGGCUUACCAAGGCGACGAUGGGUAGCGGGUGUGAGAGCAUGACCCGCGUCAUUGGGACUGAGAAACUGCCCAGACACCUACGGGUGGCUGCAGUCGAGGAUCUUCGGCAAUGGGCGCAAGCCUGACCGGGCGACGCCGCGUGCGGGAUGAAGGCCUUCGGGUUGUAAACCGCUGUCGUAGAGGAGGAAAUGCAGGAGGGUUCUCCCUUCUGUUUGACCUAUUCUAGGAGGAAGUACGGGCUAAGUUCGUGCCAGCCGCCGCCGUAA
RNAcentral lists this ribosomal RNA (482 nucleotides) under uncultured bacterium. RNAcentral describes it as "partial 16S ribosomal RNA". It matches the Rfam family "Bacterial small subunit ribosomal RNA", at positions 28 to 523 of the family's 1533-position model. The record is from RNAcentral.